This 622-nucleotide ribosomal RNA is filed under the name Hartogiopsis trilobocarpa. RNAcentral's name for it is "eukaryotic LSU rRNA". The stretch from base 237 to 392 matches the Rfam family "5.8S ribosomal RNA". Lineage: Eukaryota; Viridiplantae; Streptophyta; Magnoliopsida; Celastrales; Celastraceae. The record is from RNAcentral.
AACCUGCGAGGCAGAACGACCCGUGAAUCGGUAAAAACCAAAUAAAGAGGAAGGCGGGCCUUAGGGUCCGCCGACCGAAGUCCCAAUGCGAGGGCCGCGGGCAAAAUCUUCGGCCUUCGUUGCGGGCAACAACAAUCCCCGGCGCGGAUCGCGCCAAGGAAUCGAAACACAGAUGCGCGCCCCCAGUCCCUCGAAUGGUGCCCUGUGGGGUGCGUCGUCGUUAUCAUAUCUGAAACGACUCUCGGCAACGGAUAUCUCGGCUCUCGCAUCGAUGAAGAACGUAGCGAAAUGCGAUACUUGGUGUGAAUUGCAGAAUCCCGUGAACCAUCGAGUUUUUGAACGCAAGUUGCGCCCGAAGUCGUCAGGCCGAGGGCACGCCUGCCUGGGUGUCAUAAAACGUCGCCGAAUCCCCUCGCACCUCCUAAGGGGGAACGACGGGGGCCGGCGGAUAUUGGCCUCCCGCGACCUCUUCGGUUCGCGGUUGGCCCAAACGAGAGUCCCGGGCGAGGCAGCCACGACACGCGGUGGUUGGAAGCACGCGCUCCUCGAACACCGUCGUGGGCGUCUCGCCGAUCGGGAGCAAAGACCCCGACGCGUUGCGUCUUUCACAGCGCGACCCCAG